CCCACCAAAGAUCAUCGAUCAUCAAGAUGAUAUUUGUGAGUCUCAAAUUCACCAGUGACACCUAGCAGUAUGUAGUGGCAACCCAGUAGAAUAAAAGAUUAAUCUCUAGGUGCAGUUAGCAUAUGAUACAGUCCCUAUAUCGUGAGUCCCGAUCAGAUGACAGGUCAUGGAUGAAUCGUCAAACCUCAACAUCGGUCAUAUGAUAGAUUCAAUCAGCUCGAGUCCAUAUGUGACUCUAUAGAAACUCUUUUCCAUCAAUCAUAAUACUAUGGCCAUAGACUUAAGGACUCAGCCUCUUAAAUUCCAUAGGACCUCUCCCUUCUACUAGGGUCAAUAGAUUCC
Molecule: long non-coding RNA, 342 nt
Filed under: Elaeis guineensis (African oil palm)
Lineage: Eukaryota; Viridiplantae; Streptophyta; Magnoliopsida; Arecales; Arecaceae
Description: long non-coding RNA (EGUI_LNC054475)
Source: RNAcentral